Molecule: non-coding RNA, 331 nt
Filed under: Drosophila sechellia
Lineage: Eukaryota; Metazoa; Arthropoda; Insecta; Diptera; Drosophilidae
Description: Eukaryotic large subunit ribosomal RNA
Rfam family: Eukaryotic large subunit ribosomal RNA
Source: Rfam by way of RNAcentral
UAAAACAAGUUCGGACGGAUCCGAAAGUCGUCGUCAUUGUCCCUAUCUACUAUCUAGCGAAACCACAGCCAAGGGAACGGGCUUGGAAUAAUUAGCGGGGAAAGAAGACCCUAUUGAGCUUGACUCUAAUCUGGCAGUAUAAGGAGACAUAAGAGGUGUAGAAUAAGUGGGAGAUAUUAGUCCUCGGUUUGGUAUCGUCAAUGAAAUACCACUACUCUUAUUGUUUCCUUACUUACUUGAUUAAAUGGAACGUUUAUCAUUUCCUAUCCAUUAUACGGAUAUAUUUAAUAUAUCUUAUGGUAUUGGGUUUUGAUGCAAGCUUCUUGAUCAA